UACGUAGGGGGCAAGCGUUGUCCGGAUUUAUUGGGCGUAAAGCGCUCGCAGGUGGUCCGUCGCGUCGUGCGUGAAAGACCCCGGCUCAACUGGGGGGGGUCGUGCGAUACGGGCGGACUGGAGGCCAGUAGGGGGAUGCGGAAUUCCGGGUGUAGUGGUGGAAUGCGUAGAGAUCCGGAGGAACACCAGCGGCGAAGGCGGCAUCCUGGACUGGUCCUGACACUCAGGAGCGAAAGCGUGGGGAGCGAGCCGG
This 253-nucleotide ribosomal RNA is filed under the name uncultured bacterium. RNAcentral describes it as "partial 16S ribosomal RNA". It matches the Rfam family "Bacterial small subunit ribosomal RNA", at positions 524 to 776 of the family's 1533-position model. The record is from RNAcentral.